GAUGAAGAACGUAGCGAAAUGCGAUAAGUAAUGUGAAUUGCAGAAUUCAGUGAAUCAUCGAAUCUUUGAACGCACCUUGCGCUCCUUGGUAUUCCAAGGAGCAUGCCUGUUUGAGUAUCAUUAAAUUAUCAACUGUGCCAAUUUGGUUACAGAUUGGAUGUGGGAGAUUCUUUUUGCAGGCCUUUGACUUCUCUUUGAGAAAAAAAAUAAAAGGUCGGCUCUCCUGAAAUGUAUUAGCAGUGCCUUUGUUGGUUCAUUAGGUGUGAUAAAUUGUCUACAUCUUCGCAUGAUACCUUCAUUUUUAAAGGUCAUAUUGCUUCUAAAUUGUCUUUGAUUGGACGCAAAACAUAUAUAAUGUUUGACAAACUUGAUCUCAAAUCAGGCAGGACUACCCGCUGAACUUAAGCAUAUCAAUAAGCGGAGGA
This 425-nucleotide unclassified non-coding RNA is filed under the name soil metagenome. Its description in RNAcentral is "partial contains 5.8S ribosomal RNA, internal transcribed spacer 2, and large subunit ribosomal RNA". The stretch from base 1 to 120 matches the Rfam family "5.8S ribosomal RNA", at positions 35 to 154 of the family's 154-position model. The record is from RNAcentral.